AGAGCUCUGUGAAAGGGGUGGCUAGUCUGUGCAUCUUAAACCAAGAUGUGGGGAAACAGAGCUAGAGAAAGCAACAGACAGGAGAUGUGUCAGGCGCUGGAAGGAGGUCAGAAACUCCAGCUCAUAUGGAAAACUGACCCAGAACAUCAGCAUCAUAGCCAGGCCACCUGGGAUGUUCAUAUCCUGAAGUCUGAGGAUUUGGAGAAAAUUAAAGGAUUUACCUGAAGACAAAGCAUUCUAUUCAUCAGAGACUGGACAAGAGUUACUCUUGCUUUGGGCAAUUAAAGAUGAUGUUGUCAUGGAAACAGUUGAUCUUGCUUUCAUUCAUUGGCUGCUUAGGAGGU
This 344-nucleotide long non-coding RNA is filed under the name Sus scrofa (pig). Its description in RNAcentral is "lncRNA (ENSSSCG00035048105.1)". Lineage: Eukaryota; Metazoa; Chordata; Mammalia; Artiodactyla; Suidae. The record is from RNAcentral.